UUUUUUUUUUUUUCUGUUGGGCAUCAGUGGCAGUCCUGUAAUUUAUAGGAACUUCAACACUAAUUUUUUAUAUAGUAAAUGGAUUUUGGGUGUAUUUCUAAAGCGCAUUCCAUGUAGGGUUUUUUUAUAAUUUUAGCUCCCAUUUUGAGUAUAUUAGUGAAGCUCCCUUAAAUAUAUUCCAACGAAUAUGAAGCUUGCACUCGCAGAGGACGGAACUUUCUCUCCCAGUCACUGCUUCGUCCUCCGGGUUCGGCACCGAAAAAAGACCCAACCCGCCUAGCCGCCUAGCACCCGCCCAGCCACCGCCUAUCCGCCUAGCCGCCUAGCUACCGCCUAGCUACCGCCUAGGCCGACUUUUCAGUUCUCGCUUUUCAGCAUCCAAACGCAUUCUCUCUCUCCCCUUGUCGUCAAGGUUUUUCUGUGUUGAAAUGAGACUGAACAUAGUGGAACAAAAACAAAUUUCAUGUGAAAAAUGCGGUCCAAGUGUUUGGAAUUGCAGCAAGAUUUCUUUUUGAAAGCUUAAAUGUCGGGAAGCAAAGUGUUGCUAACGUAUAAGCGAAAGCGGCAAUCAAGAACAGAUCCUGUACAUGGUUGUGUUGCUCUUAUGUUUGUCUUAACACUUUGCCUAAAAGAAUUGGGAAUUUAUGAUAUCAGUCAGAAAGAUUAUAGUCUCCAAAUCAGUUUUAACAAAUGCCCUCCUUACCAGCUCUGAAACUGCAUGAGUUCUCAUAGAUGACAUUAAGCACCUCAAUGGUAGUUAAGAUUGUCAUAUGUGAUUUAUUUGUGUUUAUUACUAAUAUAUUUGUAUUAAUUAAGGUGCAUAUCUACUAUAUGUAACAGGGAAAUUAUAAUUUGUGGACCUCAAACUAGUAAUAUCAUAUGUCAUAUAUGAUAUAUUUACCGAGUCUUUAUUA
Prunus persica (peach) is the source of this 914-nucleotide long non-coding RNA. RefSeq lists it as uncharacterized. Lineage: Eukaryota; Viridiplantae; Streptophyta; Magnoliopsida; Rosales; Rosaceae. The transcript is spliced from 2 exons. The record is from RefSeq and is a predicted model, not a curated record.